RNAcentral lists this unclassified non-coding RNA (1284 nucleotides) under Melitaea cinxia (Glanville fritillary). RNAcentral's name for it is "misc RNA ENSMCXG00005007984.1". Lineage: Eukaryota; Metazoa; Arthropoda; Insecta; Lepidoptera; Nymphalidae. The record is from RNAcentral.
AAUGAUAAAUGUGAUUAGUGUAAUGAAAUUUGAUUUUUUUUUUAUUUGUAUUAAUGUGGAAUCACAGAAGAUGGCUGGCCAUUACCACCUGCUCUGGAUCCCAUUAUUAAAAUAAUUAAAUUAAAAACCAAGCAUAAUAUGCCACAUAUUAAAGAAUCAGUUAGCACUUUCUGCGUAGAGAGAACUAAUUAAAAUAUUGAUGUAUCAUAGGGUAGUUUCGAAUAACUUGUAACGUUAGGAUGUCUGACACCUCAGCAGCAUUUACGCGUUAUUAGAAACGACAAAUAAAUAAAUGACAUUAUUCAUUGACAAUAUUUAAAAGUGUGUUGAUAUAUGCCUACUCUCCUUCUGGGAAUCAUAUUUGGUUGCCCACGGCCAGCUUCCAAAGCUCGUAGAACAUGGUUUUGUCGAUCUUGCCACACUUCUCACGUGGCAAGUAUCCACUCGACAAAACAGUCGUCGAAUAGCUCGUAAUUGAGUAUGUGUCUGAGGAUAUCGAGACAUUUCGGUAUGAGACUUGUCUUAAGUCUCUUCGGGAUAUUUGACGACAGUAUCAUGUCUGCUACUUUCGCCAACACCAGUGCGUGUUGGUCGAGCGGCACCAUAGCAAUUAGGUUCUUCGGCAACUGUCCUUCACUUUUCGAUAUGAGGGCGUCCAUUAUUAUUUAAUGAUAACGUCGGGUGUGAGGAUAUUUAGACACCUCAAAGACUUGUAUUUAUGCUCUUCGGGAUAUUUGAUGAUAUCACCAUAAUUGUGACUUUUGGACAAUACCAGUGCGUUUUAGUCGACCGACACCUCCAUGGUCAUCAUCAGGAUCAGCCUCUUCGUUAACUUUUCUUUGCACUUUGAUGAUGGUUCGAGGGCGUUCAUUAUAUAGUACCUAAGUUAUAGUACCGGGUCGGUCGGUCUUCUCUUCGAACGUGAAAGUGCUUGGACCACGUAGAAGAAGGCUUGGAGACUAACCCACCACGUCGAUCCACUGCGGAGUGGCGGUUCGGAUCUAUAUUAUGAGUAACAUGAAAAAGACUCGUCUCAAGUUUUGGCGGCAGUUGUUGCAGGACAGGGGCAUGUAUUUUUCAUCUCGAAGUUCUUCUCGUGUACAUUAUUACGUACGAUUGUGGAGUCCGUUGUACUCGUUGAUGCCGUGCGGUGCCAGCCAAGUAGAAUAGCACCACUUAUGGCUCAUAAUCAUCAGGGUCCUGGAAAAAGGAAAACUUCAUUUGAAACCCGGAAUGGGGUAUUUGUCAAGCAUACGUGGCAUAGCUCUAAAAUGCGAAAGACUC